GCAACAUCGGUCCAAUCCUUAAAGUCAUCCUCAGUUCGGACUGGGGUCUGCAACCCGACCCCACGAAGCUGGAUUCGCUAGUAAUCGCGCAUCAGCCAUGGCGCGGUGAAUACGUUCCCGGGCCUUGUACACACCGCCCGUCAAGCCAUGAAAGCCGGGGGCGCCUGAAGUCCGUGACCGCGAGGGUCGGCCUAGGGUGAAACCGGUGAUUGGGGCUAAGUCGUAACAAGGUAUC
RNAcentral lists this ribosomal RNA (235 nucleotides) under uncultured bacterium. RNAcentral describes it as "partial 16S ribosomal RNA". It matches the Rfam family "Bacterial small subunit ribosomal RNA", at positions 1257 to 1500 of the family's 1533-position model. The record is from RNAcentral.